AGGAUUAACGCUGGCGGCGUGCCUAACACAUGCAAGUCGAACGAGGGGGCAACCCCUAGUGGCAGACGGGUGAGUAACACGUGGUCAACCUACCGCUUUGUGGGGGAUAACUAGCCGAAAGGCUAGCUAAUACCGCAUACGUCUUUGGCCGGCAUCGGCCGAUGAUAAAAGGAGCAAUCCGCAAGGUGACGGGACCGCGUCCCAUUAGCUAGUUGGUGAGGUAACGGCCUACCAAGGCGACGACGGGUAG
This 250-nucleotide ribosomal RNA is filed under the name uncultured bacterium. RNAcentral's name for it is "partial small subunit ribosomal RNA". It matches the Rfam family "Bacterial small subunit ribosomal RNA", at positions 26 to 286 of the family's 1533-position model. The record is from RNAcentral.